UCUUUCUAAAAGCACUACUUUUUAUAUGCAGAAGUACAUUAAUUCAUUUUCUAAUAACAGAAGCAGAAACUUAGGGUGACAUAAGAAAACAACAGAAGAAGUAGAAGUAAAGUAUCAUGAAGAUACAGACUAUGACUAUUUUGCAAAUUCCCAGGGCUCAGGAGGGAGAUUUAAACACAGCAGAUUAACUGCUCCUUUUCCUCCACAUUCUUAAGGCCUUCUCAGAAAUUUCCUUCCCAAUUCACUUGCCUUCCAGUGGCCAUGAAGGAAGGAACCUUCAUCUGGUCUACAUCACCACAAAGACAGAACAGUGACAGCUAACCCUGCUCCAACUUCUACCACCUUCUUGACCUGGCACAGCCAUAGAACACAGGAAGUCCUCUUCACUUCUAAUAAAAUUGGAAACAUGGGAACAUGUUCUAUAAUGUUCUAACAUGUUCUAACAAUGUUCUAUAAUGAACGGUCUAUAUCCAAAAGGAUACACUAUAUUAAAGUCUUCACUGAAAGGACCACACCAUGUGUGCAGGCUGGACAUUACUGAGGGCAGGUUCCCCACAAUGCUCCCAUGGGACCAAGACCUAUGUGCAUUACUCAGUAUAAUUUUUUUUAUUUUUAUUUUUUGCUUAUUCUCUGCUCUGUGAUGUAAAAAUGUUGAAAAUGU
Long non-coding RNA from Cebus imitator (Panamanian white-faced capuchin), 661 nucleotides. RefSeq lists it as uncharacterized. The record is from RefSeq and is a predicted model, not a curated record. The transcript has 4 exons. NCBI's taxonomy places the organism in Eukaryota, Metazoa, Chordata, Mammalia, Primates, Cebidae.